This is a long non-coding RNA of Folsomia candida, 369 nucleotides long. RefSeq lists it as uncharacterized. The transcript is spliced from 2 exons. The record is from RefSeq and is a predicted model, not a curated record. Lineage: Eukaryota; Metazoa; Arthropoda; Collembola; Entomobryomorpha; Isotomidae.
AAAACCGAAUCGUCGGACCAUUUAACUUUCAUAUUUACUUUCCUGCCUAUUUCGUACACUUUAAAAUUCUAAAAAAACGACAAAAAUUAUGAAGGUUAUUCUGAUCAUUGCCUUGGUUUGUGCUCUUUUCGCUGCUGCUGCGAAUGGACUGGCAUUACAGUGUCUCUCCAGUGGAAUGGCCUGUCUGAACGCAAAGAUCGAAUUUGGGGGCAUGUUUGACACGCUUGGCAAAUGUUGCGAUGGAUUGUCAUGUGCCGUUGUUGCACUGACUGAUACUUACGGCAUGUGCAAGUAAUUCAUGGUCAUAGGGUAUUUACUACAGAUAAUUGAGAUCAAUUGGAAAAUAAAUCAUUAACUUGCAAAUUUGAA